GAUGAACGCUGGCGGCGUGCCUAAUACAUGCAAGUCGAGCGAACGGACGAGAAGCUUGCUUCUCUGAUGUUAGCGGCGGACGGGUGAGUAACACGUGGAUAACCUACCUAUAAGACUGGGAUAACUUCGGGAAACCGGAGCUAAUACCGGAUAAUAUUUUGAACCGCAUGGUUCAAAAGUGAAAGACGGUCUUGCUGUCACUUAUAGAUGGAUCCGCGCUGCAUUAGCUAGUUGGUAAGGUAACGGCUUACCAAGGCAACGAUGCAUAACCGACCUGAGAGGGUGAUCGGCCACACUGGAACUGAGACACGGUCCAGACUCCUACGGGAGGCAGCAGUAGGGAAUCGUCCGCAAUGGGCGAAAGCCUGACGGAGCAACGCCGCGUGAGUGAUGAAGGUCUUCGGAUCGUAAAACUCUGUUAUUAGGGAAGAACAUAUGUGUAAGUAACUGUGCACAUCUUGACGGUACCUAAUCAGAAAGCCACGGCUAACUACGUG
This 497-nucleotide ribosomal RNA is filed under the name uncultured bacterium. RNAcentral describes it as "partial 16S ribosomal RNA". It matches the Rfam family "Bacterial small subunit ribosomal RNA", at positions 28 to 507 of the family's 1533-position model. The record is from RNAcentral.